ACGCUCGACACCUACGGGAAGCAGCAGUGGGGAAUAUUGCACAAUGGGGGAAACCCUGAUGCAGCGACGCCGCGUGAGGGAAGAAGGUUUUCGGAUUGUAAACCUCUGUCCUGGGUGAAGAAGGAAGACGGUAGCCAAGGAGGAAGCCACGGCUAACUACGUGCCAGCAGCCGCGGUAAUCUGAGCGGGCUGGCAAGGC
RNAcentral lists this ribosomal RNA (199 nucleotides) under uncultured bacterium. RNAcentral describes it as "partial 16S ribosomal RNA". It matches the Rfam family "Bacterial small subunit ribosomal RNA", at positions 326 to 539 of the family's 1533-position model. The record is from RNAcentral.